RNAcentral lists this ribosomal RNA (460 nucleotides) under uncultured Flavobacteriales bacterium. RNAcentral describes it as "bacterial SSU rRNA". It matches the Rfam family "Bacterial small subunit ribosomal RNA", at positions 338 to 795 of the family's 1533-position model. Lineage: Bacteria; Pseudomonadati; Bacteroidota; Flavobacteriia; Flavobacteriales. The record is from RNAcentral.
CCUACGGGGGGCAGCAGUGGGGAAUAUUGCGCAAUGGAGGCAACUCUGACGCAGCCAUGCCGCGUGCAGGAAGAAGGCGCUACGCGUUGUAAACUGCUUUUAACCGGGAAGAAACCCCAGGACGUGUCCUGGGUUGACGGUACCGGAGGAAUAAGCACCGGCUAACUUCGUGCCAGCAGCCGCGGUAAUACGAAGGGUGCAAGCGUUAUCCGGAUUCAUUGGGUUUAAAGGGUGCGUAGGUGGGGCGAUAAGUCAGUGGUGAAAUCCUGCGGCUUAACCGUAGAAUUGCCAUUGAUACUGUCGCUCUUGAGUACGCUUGACGUGGGCGGAAUGUGCCGUGUAGCGGUGAAAUGCUUAGAUAUGGCACAGAACACCGAUAGUGAAGACAGCUCACGAAGGCGAAACUGACACUGAGGCACGAAAGCGUGGGGAUCGAACAGGAUUAGAUACCCCUGUAGUC